Molecule: microRNA precursor, 59 nt
Filed under: Gadus morhua (Atlantic cod)
Lineage: Eukaryota; Metazoa; Chordata; Actinopteri; Gadiformes; Gadidae
Description: Gmo-Mir-10-P1b2-v1_pre stem-loop
Source: RNAcentral
UACCCUGUAGAACCGAAUGUGUGGACAUGCUUCAGCACAGGUUGGGUUCUGGGGGAGUC